GACGAACGCUGGCGGCGUGCCUAAUACAUGCAAGUAGAACGCUGAAGGAGGAGCUUGCUUCUCUGGAUGAGUUGCGAACGGGUGAGUAACGCGUAGGUAACCUGCCUGGUAGCGGGGGAUAACUAUUGGAAACGAUAGCUAAUACCGCAUAAGAGUAGAUGUUGCAUGACAUUUGCUUAAAAGGUGCAAUUGCAUCACUACCAGAUGGACCUGCGUUGUAUUAGCUAGGUGGUGGGGUAACGGCUCACCAAGGCGACGAUACAUAGCCGACCUGAGAGGGUGAUCGGCCAAACUGGGACUGAGACACGGCCCAGACUCCUACGGGAGGCAGCAGUAGGGAAUCUUCGGCAAUGGACGGAAGUCUGACCGAGCAACGCCGCGUGAGUGAAGAAGGUUUUCGGAUCGUAAAGCUCUGUUGUAAGAGAAGAACGAGUGUGAGAGUGGAAAGUUCACACUGUGACGGUAUCUUACCAGAAAGGGACGGCUAACUACGUG
This 495-nucleotide ribosomal RNA is filed under the name uncultured bacterium. RNAcentral describes it as "partial 16S ribosomal RNA". It matches the Rfam family "Bacterial small subunit ribosomal RNA", at positions 28 to 507 of the family's 1533-position model. The record is from RNAcentral.